UAGAAUCAUCACUGACAGAAUUUUUACUAGAUAAAUUCUGAGAACAUGCUGAUAUUUUGCCGUCUUCAGCAUUUGAUGAAGAUGGCUGAUCAUUGGCAUGAUUGACGUCAUCGGAUAUGAGGUUAUUCAAUGAAAAAAAUCUAAUUCAUGACAGUAAUUCAUGCUUCUCUUUAGAUUUUUUUUAAAAUACAAUUUUGGAUUGUGUUUUGUUGAUUUUGAGAUUGAAAGGAAUUCUGUGUUAGUUAAUUGUUAUUCUCAUUAAUUUAGUGCUGAACAAAUUGACAGUCUCUUCCAUUUUUAAAUAUUAAUUUAAAUACUAAUAAGUCAAUCAAAAGUAAGUAGGAAAUUUUGCAACAUACAUAUAUAGUAAUUGUUGUCUAAUUAACAUAAAAAAUUAUAUUUUGAAACAAAAUUAAUGAAACAAGAAAAGAUAACGCCCUGAAACUUUAUUUUUUUGUCUGAGAUAACAAAGAAAAAUCAUGAAUGAAACUUUUCACUCAUUACCAAUAAUUGUGAAAAAACAUCAUUUGUUUUAAGGUCAAAACCAACCACUCUAGUUCUACACAAGAAUGCCAGUAAAAUUUGGGCCAAGCCAACAAAAAAUGGUCCGGGGGAUUGUGAGAUUGUGUUACAGACAGUCUUCCAUAAAGUGGAACUAAGCCAAGCACAUUAAGUAAACUAGCUUAGCUUUCAGAUUGCCCAAAAUACCUGCCAGAUAUUGUAGCAAGAAUGUUCAGCAUUAUAACCUCAUCAUCAAGUUCAGACUUGGCAGCUCGCAAGCUAGCACACUUUCGGAGCAGGCUCCGCAAAGCAGCGCUAGUAUCAGCAUGUAAUGGAGUAUCAACUGCUACACAUAAAGCAAAAAGCCACAUACAAUCAUUUUUCGAAAGUGAGCUCCUUGUUUCUGCCAAGCCAAUGCAUUUCUUCAGCAUCAAUACUCGUGUAACAGAAUCCAUUCCAAAAAUCGCAGACAAUGUAGGGUAGUUGCAUGUAGAAUCAUCACUGACAGAAUUUUUACUAGAUAAAUUCUGAGAACAUGCUGAUAUUUUGCCGUCUUCAGCAUUUGAUGAAGAUGGCUGAUCAUUGGCAUGAUUGACGUCAUCGGAUAUGAGGUUAAAUUUUUGGAGAACGACACAUUCAGCAAGCUGAGGGGAGGAAUUAUUCUGCUCAUGAGUAAUAGCCACAUGUUGCAUUCGAUAAGAAAGUUCGGUGCAGGAACCCUCAUUGCCUGAU
RNAcentral lists this long non-coding RNA (1233 nucleotides) under Jatropha curcas. Its description in RNAcentral is "long non-coding RNA (JCUR_LNC000681)". Lineage: Eukaryota; Viridiplantae; Streptophyta; Magnoliopsida; Malpighiales; Euphorbiaceae. The record is from RNAcentral.